Long non-coding RNA from Papaver somniferum (opium poppy), 2265 nucleotides. RefSeq lists it as uncharacterized. The record is from RefSeq and is a predicted model, not a curated record. Lineage: Eukaryota; Viridiplantae; Streptophyta; Magnoliopsida; Ranunculales; Papaveraceae. The transcript has 6 exons.
UCUACUUUCUAUUUUCAUUCCUUCUUUUCGGCAGUAGGAAGAAGAAAAAGAAGAAGACGAAGAGAUAAGAGCAGUAGAUGGUGGUGAAGCAAAAGAUAUUGGUGCUCAGAUCGCACCUGUCGUUAAACUUGAAGAAGUUUACAACUGUGAAGAAGUUCUUAUCUAAAUCUCAAUAAUUUAGUUUUCUAAUUCGAAUUUGAUUUGAUUUUUAUGGGUUUGAUUUUUUGUUGUUGAUUGUGUGUAGAAAAGAGAAACUAUACCGAUUUGAUUAAGAUGAAAAUCAAUAGAAAGAGGAGUUUAAACUUUGAAGAUUCUUAAACAUAAACAUACUGAGAAAGUUGGGUUGGUUAUGAGACAAUUCAAGAUCUGUGCUAAUCAUCUAGAAAAUAGUGCGGCUGUGUAAGAGAAAGCUGAGGAGAUUGAGAGAGUAAAAUUUAGUGGAAAUUCAGAGAGAUCGAGAAAUGAAGAUGUUAGGGUCUGUAAAGAGAUUAGGGUGUUGUUUCCAGUAAGAGAAGAUCUGUUGUUAACGAUGAGUCUCGGUGGUUGUUAAUUGAAGCAAUGAAUCAACAAAUCAGAGGAACAUGGAGAAAUUAGGGUUUCAAAGGAAGAAUUGAAGACACCAAUAAUGGGUUUGUUCAAUAUCAAGAAAAGGAAGACUAGUUGAUGGCACCAGUUUGCUCUAGAAUUAAGGGUUCUGUGCGAUUCAACAUCGGUGAUUGAUGGCAGAGAUCAAAAGGGUAUUUUCUGUUCGAGUCUCAGACGAGUUUGAGAGAAAUUCAGUGAAGAAGAGAUGCUGGUUACAGCUGGGAAAUGUUGUUUGCUGCUGAAGAAUUCAUGUUGUGUUGCAGGAAUUUUGGGUUGCCCUUAAAUUUGACUUUGGUUUGUGUGUGACUGAGUUCUGAUGGGAAUUGGUGCUGGUAGUUGCAUUUGAGCAAGAACAACACAGGGUAUGAGUUGCUGCUAUCGAGAUCUGCAGGGGUUGAACUGCAAGAAUGGUUGCAGUCUCAGGUGGUGCUGUGUAUGCUGGAAUUACAGGAAAGUUGGUUUGGCUGCUGCUGGGAAGUUUAGUCAAGAGUAUGGAGAUGUAAUUUCAUCUGCAAUGAAGUGCUGAUGGUGCUGUGACAGUGAGACAUGAGCGGAGUGAUGCAGUGGUGAGAUGAACUAACAAGAGCUGAGGGCAAGCUGUAAUUGCAGCUGCACUGAAGCUGAGUGAGCAACUAAUACAACUAAAGAUGCAAGUGCAGUGAUAGUGGAUAUGGAGCUGUGAGCUGUAGGGAAUUACAGGAAUAGACGGGUGGUCUUGCUGUUGUAUGUAGCUGGAGAGAAUGAUGAAUUGAAGCUGUUGCAGGUGAUUUAUAGAUGAAAGCAGCAUGAGAUGAGUUGCAGGCAUGUGCAGCUGCAAGUUGAAAUGAUUUUGUUGGUCCAAGAAGAGAAUGGAAGUGCUGCAAUAGAUGUAUGUUAGGAUGCAGAUGAAGCUGGUAUGGAACUGGUGGUGAAGAAGCGAGUUGGCAAAGAAUGUGACAGUGAGCUGAAAUUACAGAAAAUGGGUUGUUGCUGCAGUUACAGAUGGAGUUUGCAAGCAUUUCAUCUUCAACUAACAAAGAAACUACUUCUGUUGGAGUCACCCUUCAGCUCGUAUCACCUCCUGCACCUCAGAUAGGGAUGCAACUCAAGCUGCCUCAAGUUUUGAAAAUAAGAACCAUCUCCCAGAAAGUUUACAAGAUCAGAUGCUUUCCCAUCUGUGUUUGAAGUUCAGAACUGACUCCGAAGGGUUGCAUCAGCAAGAGACUCUUGAAUCCCUCCCUAAAGCCAUCCGUUCUAGCAUUUCACAUUUUCUCUUCGAUAAUCUCGUUAACAACGCGUACUUGUUCCGCAGGGGGUCAAAUGACCUUCUUUUCCAGUUAGUCUCAGAAAUGAAAGCGGAGUAUUUCCCUCCGAAAGAAGAUGUUAUAUUGCAGAAUGAAGCACCGACAGACUUCUAUAUACUAGUUAUAUGCGCUGUGGCUCUAACUGAAGGAUAAUGUCAUCACAAAACCUCAGAAACACAAUCCAGAAAUCGUCGCGAAUGAAGAGAUGGGAUGGAAGAACUUAAAUUUGAUUGGAGCAGCAUGGGCAGGUACUUCAUGUAUCUGUAUUUCAGUUACUUUUUUUUCUUCCUUAGAGACAUCCAACAAUGUAGAGUUCAUUUUCCUUUAAAACAUUUUGUAAGAUUUUUUUUUUUUUUUUUUUUGAAAGCAUUGUAUGAUUCUCAUGAUGUGAUGCUAA